AACGCUGGCGGCAGGCCUAACACAUGCAAGUCGAACGCCCCGCAAGGGGAGUGGCAGACGGGUGAGUAACACGUGGGAACAUGCCCUUUGGUUCGGAAUAACUCAGGGAAACUUGAGCUAAUACCGGAUAAGUCCGCAAGGAGAAAGAUUUAUCGCCGAAGGAUUGGCCCGCGUCUGAUUAGCUUGUUGGUGAGGUAAUGGCUCACCAAGGCGACGAUCAGUAGCUGGUCUGAGAGGAUGAUCAGCCACAUUGGGACUGAGACACGGCCCAAACUCCUACGGGAGGCAGCAGUGGGGAAUAUUGGACAAUGGGCGAAAGCCUGAUCCAGCCAUGCCGCGUGAGUGAUGACGGCCUUAGGGUUGUAAAGCUCUUUUGCCCGGGAAGAUAAUGACGGUACCGGGAGAAUAAGCCCCGGCUAACUUCGUGCCAGCAGCCGCGGUAAUACGAAGGGGGCUAGCGUUGUUCGGAUUUACUGGGCGUAAAGCGCACGUAGGCGGAUCCUUAAGUCAGAGGUGAAAUCCCGGGGCUCAACCUCGGAACUGCCUUUGAUACUGGGGAUCUCGAGUCCGGGAGAAGGUGAGUGGAACUGCCAGUGUAAA
This 600-nucleotide ribosomal RNA is filed under the name uncultured bacterium. RNAcentral's name for it is "bacterial SSU rRNA". It matches the Rfam family "Bacterial small subunit ribosomal RNA", at positions 32 to 679 of the family's 1533-position model. The record is from RNAcentral.